GCCGCGGGCGCUUUGAAGUGAGCCGCUGCCGGGCCGCUCCGGCCGCCUGGCCGUCCCUGCCGCCAGGCCGUCGGUCCGGGGCUGGCGGCGGGGCCGGCGGCGCGUGUUUAUCCAGGUACCACCAGGAGCCCUGGCAUCAUCAGAAUCUUAUUAGAAAUGUGGAAUCUCAGGCCCCUCCCCAGACCUGCAGAGUGAAAUCUGUUUUUUAAAAGAUCCCUGGUGAAUUGGACACGCAAUAAAGUUUGAGGACGCUAACAUCUGGUUAAAAGUCUGCUAUUGCCACUGUGUGGGAACCUGUCUUUGGGAAGCUGCACCUCCUUCAUCGGAUUGGCAAGAGAUGAGCCUUCUCCAUCAGACCAGCUAUGCUUCCAGAGCAGAGGCUGUGCUUCUGGGAUCUUCCCGAGGACAGGGAUUGAUCCUCCCCAAUCAAACUGGGAAUCUGGCAGAAGCAGAGGUGGUUCUUGGUCGCAGGCCGGAUGCUCGCCUGAAGCUUGUGGUGCCACCCCCGUCUGACUGGCAGUCCCCAGGAUCCCCUGUGAAACUUGGCUGGCUUUGGGGUUGAGAGCCACCUGCAAGGAGAGGUAUCCGUUCGCGUUUUCCAAGAGGAUGGAGAAGCCAGAGAGGAGAGAUGGGCCUGUGUUGCGAUUCUGGCCAGUGAAGCAUGAGAAAAAAUCAGGGAAGGGGCCCUCCUUGGCUUAAAAUGAGGCUCAAGGUCUCCUAAUGUCUGGCUUAAUAGAAGACAGCUGGGUUCUCAUUUUGGCUUCUGCGUUCAAUUUGUUCCAAUAUCCCAUGUCAUGAAGCCCCUGGAAAACUCCGCUGUGCAAACCCUGGGAGAACGAGAGGGAGAAAAGCACCGGCCAUCGCGGGAUUUGUAUUAGUUUUCUGUGGCUGCUGUAACAAAUGACUGUAACCUUGGUGACUGACAGCAGAAGUGUAUUCUCCCAGUUCUGGAGGCCGCGAGCCUGACGUCCAGGAGUUACCAGAGCUGUGCGGUUCCCAGAGACUCUAGGGGAGAACCUGGCCCUUCCCUCUGCUGGCUUCUGGUGGCUGUCCAUGUCCCUAGGCUUGUGGCUGUGUCACUUCAUUCUCUGCCUCCAUUUUCAUAGCACUGUGUUUAUCUUAUGACAUUUGUCAUUGGAUUCAGGGCCCACUCAGAUCAUCUGGGCUUAUCUCCUCAACUCAAAAUCCUUAAUUGUAUCUGCAAAGACUUUUUUUUUUUUUUUUUUUUUUUUUUUUUUUUUUUGCAGAGAAGUUUCUAUUCAGUUUCUGGGGAUUAGGACAU
This is a long non-coding RNA of Prionailurus viverrinus (fishing cat), 1282 nucleotides long. RefSeq lists it as uncharacterized. The record is from RefSeq and is a predicted model, not a curated record. The transcript has 4 exons. NCBI's taxonomy places the organism in Eukaryota, Metazoa, Chordata, Mammalia, Carnivora, Felidae.